GAUAUCGGAGCUUGCUCUGGUUGAUCAGUGGCGAACGGGUGAGUAACACGUGAGUAACCUGCCCUUGACUCUGGGAUAACUCCGGGAAACCGGGGCUAAUACCGGAUACGAGACGCGACCGCAUGGUCGGCGUCUGGAAAGUUUUUCGGUCAAGGAUGGACUCGCGGCCUAUCAGCUUGUUGGUGAGGUAAUGGCUCACCAAGGCGUCGACGGGUAGCCGGCCUGAGAGGGCGACCGGCCACACUGGGACUGAGACACGGCCCAGACUCCUACGGGAGGCAGCAGUGGGGAAUAUUGCACAAUGGGCGAAAGCCUGAUGCAGCGACGCCGCGUGAGGGAUGAAGGCCUUCGGGUUGUAAACCUCUUUCAGUAGGGAAGAAGCGAAAGUGACGGUACCUGCAGAAGAAGCGCCGGCUAACUACGUGCCAGCAGCCGCGGUAAUACGUAGGGCGCAAGCGUUGUCCGGAAUUAUUGGGCGUAAAGAGCUCGUAGGCGGUUUGUCGCGUCUGGUGUGAAAACUCAAGGCUCAACCUUGAGCUUGCAUCGGGUACGGGCAGACUAGAGUGUGGUAGGGGUGACUGGAAUUCCUGGUGUAGCGGUGGAAUGCGCAGAUAUCAGGAGGAACACCGAUGGCGAAGGCAGGUCACUGGGCCACUACUGACGCUGAGGAGCGAAAGCAUGGGGAGCGAACAGGAUUAGAUACCCUGGUAGUCCAUGCCGUAAACGUUGGGCACUAGGUGUGGGGCUCAUUCCACGAGUUCCGCGCCGCAGCUAACGCAUUAAG
Molecule: ribosomal RNA, 784 nt
Filed under: Sanguibacter inulinus
Lineage: Bacteria; Bacillati; Actinomycetota; Actinomycetes; Micrococcales; Sanguibacteraceae
Description: bacterial SSU rRNA
Rfam family: Bacterial small subunit ribosomal RNA
Source: RNAcentral